RNAcentral lists this non-coding RNA (30 nucleotides) under Macaca fascicularis (crab-eating macaque). RNAcentral also lists the same sequence under 1 other name. The record is from RNAcentral. Lineage: Eukaryota; Metazoa; Chordata; Mammalia; Primates; Cercopithecidae.
UGGGCAGAUGGCCAAGGUGUGGGCUCCAGG